ACACUGAAGUUGAGAGUUGGAUGAAGACAAACCGACUGAUCAUGACAACUCCAGCAGAUGGUCAGCUUGUUUUCCUCCAACAUCUCAUCUUCAGCAG
This 97-nucleotide microRNA precursor is filed under the name Oryza brachyantha (malo sina). Its description in RNAcentral is "MIR2275 microRNA precursor family". It matches the Rfam family "MIR2275 microRNA precursor family". The record is from Rfam by way of RNAcentral. Lineage: Eukaryota; Viridiplantae; Streptophyta; Magnoliopsida; Poales; Poaceae.